Molecule: ribosomal RNA, 468 nt
Filed under: uncultured bacterium
Lineage: Bacteria
Description: partial 16S ribosomal RNA
Rfam family: Bacterial small subunit ribosomal RNA
Source: RNAcentral
GACGAACGCUGGCGGCGUGCUUAACACAUGCAAGUCGAACGGAAAGGCCCUGCUUUUGUGGGGUGCUCGAGUGGCGAACGGGUGAGUAACACGUGAGUAACCUGCCCUUGACUUUGGGGUAACUUCAGGAAACUGGGGCUAAUACCGGAUAGGAGCUCCUGCUGCAUGGUGGGGGUUGGAAAGUUUCGGCGGUUGGGGAUGGACUCGCGGCUUAUCAGCUUGUUGGUGGGGUAGUGGCUUACCAAGGCUUUGACGGGUAGCCGGCCUGAGAGGGUGACCGGCCACAUUGGGACUGAGAUACGGCCCAGACUCCUACGGGAGGCAGCAGUGGGGAAUAUUGCACAAUGGGCGGAAGCCUGAUGCAGCAACGCCGCGUGCGGGAUGACGGCCUUCGGGUUGUAAACCGCUUUCGCCUGUGACGAAGCGCGAGUGACGGUAAUGGGUAAAGAAGCACCGGCUAACUACGUG